Molecule: ribosomal RNA, 2932 nt
Filed under: Escherichia coli
Lineage: Bacteria; Pseudomonadati; Pseudomonadota; Gammaproteobacteria; Enterobacterales; Enterobacteriaceae
Also listed under: 2 other names
Description: bacterial LSU rRNA
Rfam family: Bacterial large subunit ribosomal RNA
Source: RNAcentral
GGGUUGUGAGGUUAAGCGACUAAGCGUACACGGUGGAUGCCCUGGCAGUCAGAGGCGAUGAAGGACGUGCUAAUCUGCGAUAAGCGUCGGUAAGGUGAUAUGAACCGUUAUAACCGGCGAUUUCCGAAUGGGGAAACCCAGUGUGUUUCGACACACUAUCAUUAACUGAAUCCAUAGGUUAAUGAGGCGAACCGGGGGAACUGAAACAUCUAAGUACCCCGAGGAAAAGAAAUCAACCGAGAUUCCCCCAGUAGCGGCGAGCGAACGGGGAGCAGCCCAGAGCCUGAAUCAGUGUGUGUGUUAGUGGAAGCGUCUGGAAAGGCGCGCGAUACAGGGUGACAGCCCCGUACACAAAAAUGCACAUGCUGUGAGCUCGAUGAGUAGGGCGGGACACGUGGUAUCCUGUCUGAAUAUGGGGGGACCAUCCUCCAAGGCUAAAUACUCCUGACUGACCGAUAGUGAACCAGUACCGUGAGGGAAAGGCGAAAAGAACCCCGGCGAGGGGAGUGAAAAAGAACCUGAAACCGUGUACGUACAAGCAGUGGGAGCACGCUUAGGCGUGUGACUGCGUACCUUUUGUAUAAUGGGUCAGCGACUUAUAUUCUGUAGCAAGGUUAACCGAAUAGGGGAGCCGAAGGGAAACCGAGUCUUAACUGGGCGUUAAGUUGCAGGGUAUAGACCCGAAACCCGGUGAUCUAGCCAUGGGCAGGUUGAAGGUUGGGUAACACUAACUGGAGGACCGAACCGACUAAUGUUGAAAAAUUAGCGGAUGACUUGUGGCUGGGGGUGAAAGGCCAAUCAAACCGGGAGAUAGCUGGUUCUCCCCGAAAGCUAUUUAGGUAGCGCCUCGUGAAUUCAUCUCCGGGGGUAGAGCACUGUUUCGGCAAGGGGGUCAUCCCGACUUACCAACCCGAUGCAAACUGCGAAUACCGGAGAAUGUUAUCACGGGAGACACACGGCGGGUGCUAACGUCCGUCGUGAAGAGGGAAACAACCCAGACCGCCAGCUAAGGUCCCAAAGUCAUGGUUAAGUGGGAAACGAUGUGGGAAGGCCCAGACAGCCAGGAUGUUGGCUUAGAAGCAGCCAUCAUUUAAAGAAAGCGUAAUAGCUCACUGGUCGAGUCGGCCUGCGCGGAAGAUGUAACGGGGCUAAACCAUGCACCGAAGCUGCGGCAGCGACGCUGAUGCGUUGUUGGGUAGGGGAGCGUUCUGUAAGCCUGCGAAGGUGUGCUGUGAGGCAUGCUGGAGGUAUCAGAAGUGCGAAUGCUGACAUAAGUAACGAUAAAGCGGGUGAAAAGCCCGCUCGCCGGAAGACCAAGGGUUCCUGUCCAACGUUAAUCGGGGCAGGGUGAGUCGACCCCUAAGGCGAGGCCGAAAGGCGUAGUCGAUGGGAAACAGGUUAAUAUUCCUGUACUUGGUGUUACUGCGAAGGGGGGACGGAGAAGGCUAUGUUGGCCGGGCGACGGUUGUCCCGGUUUAAGCGUGUAGGCUGGUUUUCCAGGCAAAUCCGGAAAAUCAAGGCUGAGGCGUGAUGACGAGGCACUACGGUGCUGAAGCAACAAAUGCCCUGCUUCCAGGAAAAGCCUCUAAGCAUCAGGUAACAUCAAAUCGUACCCCAAACCGACACAGGUGGUCAGGUAGAGAAUACCAAGGCGCUUGAGAGAACUCGGGUGAAGGAACUAGGCAAAAUGGUGCCGUAACUUCGGGAGAAGGCACGCUGAUAUGUAGGUGAAGUCCCUCGCGGAUGGAGCUGAAAUCAGUCGAAGAUACCAGCUGGCUGCAACUGUUUAUUAAAAACACAGCACUGUGCAAACACGAAAGUGGACGUAUACGGUGUGACGCCUGCCCGGUGCCGGAAGGUUAAUUGAUGGGGUUAGCCGCAAGGCGAAGCUCUUGAUCGAAGCCCCGGUAAACGGCGGCCGUAACUAUAACGGUCCUAAGGUAGCGAAAUUCCUUGUCGGGUAAGUUCCGACCUGCACGAAUGGCGUAAUGAUGGCCAGGCUGUCUCCACCCGAGACUCAGUGAAAUUGAACUCGCUGUGAAGAUGCAGUGUACCCGCGGCAAGACGGAAAGACCCCGUGAACCUUUACUAUAGCUUGACACUGAACAUUGAGCCUUGAUGUGUAGGAUAGGUGGGAGGCUUUGAAGUGUGGACGCCAGUCUGCAUGGAGCCGACCUUGAAAUACCACCCUUUAAUGUUUGAUGUUCUAACGUUGACCCGUAAUCCGGGUUGCGGACAGUGUCUGGUGGGUAGUUUGACUGGGGCGGUCUCCUCCUAAAGAGUAACGGAGGAGCACGAAGGUUGGCUAAUCCUGGUCGGACAUCAGGAGGUUAGUGCAAUGGCAUAAGCCAGCUUGACUGCGAGCGUGACGGCGCGAGCAGGUGCGAAAGCAGGUCAUAGUGAUCCGGUGGUUCUGAAUGGAAGGGCCAUCGCUCAACGGAUAAAAGGUACUCCGGGGAUAACAGGCUGAUACCGCCCAAGAGUUCAUAUCGACGGCGGUGUUUGGCACCUCGAUGUCGGCUCAUCACAUCCUGGGGCUGAAGUAGGUCCCAAGGGUAUGGCUGUUCGCCAUUUAAAGUGGUACGCGAGCUGGGUUUAGAACGUCGUGAGACAGUUCGGUCCCUAUCUGCCGUGGGCGCUGGAGAACUGAGGGGGGCUGCUCCUAGUACGAGAGGACCGGAGUGGACGCAUCACUGGUGUUCGGGUUGUCAUGCCAAUGGCACUGCCCGGUAGCUAAAUGCGGAAGAGAUAAGUGCUGAAAGCAUCUAAGCACGAAACUUGCCCCGAGAUGAGUUCUCCCUGACUCCUUGAGAGUCCUGAAGGAACGUUGAAGACGACGACGUUGAUAGGCCGGGUGUGUAAGCGCAGCGAUGCGUUGAGCUAACCGGUACUAAUGAACCGUGAGGCUUAACCUUACAACGCCGAAGCUGUU